GUGUCGAGAAGUAGACAAGGACUCAAUUUCCAUUUUGGGUCGGAAGAACUAGAAAACUCAAAAGAUCGCCACUCUUUUGGUGAGGAAACUAGCAAAGGGAGAAUGUUGCACUAUGUUACCCAAAGAGUGGAUCAAAACUACACUAAAACACAACACAAAAAAGGCAAAUUUUAAUAAGUUGAACGACAAGAUAAUCGAUAAAAAACUAAAGAAAGUUUAAACGGUAAGCAUAAGAAAAACCACGCACCUGGAAUGAAGAGAGAAAAAGGAGAGGACGAAGACAAUGACGUUAUGAGAUAAUACAAUGCAAUGCCGGAAGAGAUAAAAAGUAGAGGUGCACAAGAGAGUAAAAGAAGAGGAGAAGCAGAGAAAAAGGAGAAGAGAUGAAGACGCGAUCAGAAACUGAGUGGUUAGAAGGGUCUGCGGUUAAUUUAAAAUGAAAUUGGGCGUCGGUUGUGCCAGAAACCGACAUCUAUAGACGUCAGUGUUUGAUCGGGAUCCGACGCCUAUUCUUCUUAAAGAAGCUGAAAAGAUUGACGCUUGAUUUCCUGUCAGGGUAGUUCACGUCGGUACCCCUCCUAGCCGACGUCUAAAACCCUCGAAUUUGGUGAAAAUAAUCAAUUACAGGAACGUAGACGUCGCUUACAUUCAGAACCGACGUCUAAAUUGAAGGAUUUUUGUCUUCCCGCCUUCCAGAUAGGCCUUAGACGUCACCAUUUGACUACGUGACGUCUAAGCGCCUGGGAAUUUGGUGAACAACAUUAAUUGUAGUCCAGUCGACGUCGCUUGCUCAGGGGAUCCGACGUCUAUUCCACGUCUAGAGCUGAACCGUUUGACGUUUGAUUUCUUGUC
RNAcentral lists this long non-coding RNA (852 nucleotides) under Vigna radiata. Its description in RNAcentral is "long non-coding RNA (VRAD_LNC015860)". Lineage: Eukaryota; Viridiplantae; Streptophyta; Magnoliopsida; Fabales; Fabaceae. The record is from RNAcentral.